This 108-nucleotide small nuclear RNA is filed under the name Myotis davidii. The record is from RNAcentral. Lineage: Eukaryota; Metazoa; Chordata; Mammalia; Chiroptera; Vespertilionidae.
GUACUUGCUUCAGCAGCACAUAUACUAAAAUUGGAACGAUAUAGAGAAGAUUAGCAUGGCCCCUUGUGCAAGAAUGACAUGCAAAUUUGUGAAGCGCUACAUAUUUUU